ACGUUCGGUGGAGGAACCAGACUGGAAGUUAACUUGGGUCGAGUCGUCCCCACCCUGACGGUGCUGCCCCCCUCCAGUGAGCAGCUGCAGCAGGGGACGGCCACGCUCAUGUGCCUGGCCAACAAGGGCUUCCCCUCAGACUGGAGUCUGUCCUGGAAGGUGGACGGCAGCAGCAGCAGCAGCAGCAGCUGGGAGCAGAGCAGCAGCCCCGGGGUGCUGGAGAAGGACGGCCACUACAGCUGGAGCAGCACCCUGAGGCUCUCUGCAGACCAGUGGAGGAAGGUGGGCUCUGUGACCUGUGAGGCCACCCAGGGCUCCCAGACUCCGCUCUCAGAGACUCUGAGGAGAGACCAGUGUUCCCAGUCCUGAUCUGACUCACUGCUUUUACUCUGCUACUGCUCUCAGUCUGCUCUCUUUCUCUGGUUCUCUCAUGAUGUUUCAACAUUAACUUGUUCUUGCUUGUGUUGAUAGUUUUAACAUUUUCAAACAAUAAAGAAUUACAUCGUGUAUUAUAAAAGUGACCAUUGUUUUGAAUUCCUUUCUUUUACACGUGUUAUAUAUUAGGAGCAUGAAUCAGAUUAAUGUGGCAAAGUGACAAUCGUUAGAACUACAUUUUUUCCAGAUACAUUUUUAAUAGUUUUAAGACGUCAGAUGCAGGUGCAGCUAUUUCAAUGGUAAAUCACAAAGCCAUCAGAUUUAACAAAUAUAUACUUUUGAAGAUCUAUUUGUCAAUUUAAUAUGUCAUUAAAUUUGUAUUUUUACCCAAGAUAAUUCAACAUUUAUUUGUAAUCCUAUGAUACAAUAUAAAUGGUGCCCCGUGCGAGGCAUCGUACAGUUGGUAAUAGUUCUGUACACUGUAAUUCUCUCUUUCUCACACAUUAUUGCUUGUGUUAAUGCUUUCAAAAUUUUAAAGCAAUAAAGAUUUUAUUAUGU
Non-coding RNA from Centropristis striata (black sea bass), 933 nucleotides. The record is from the annotation of a RefSeq genome assembly. NCBI's taxonomy places the organism in Eukaryota, Metazoa, Chordata, Actinopteri, Perciformes, Serranidae.